Molecule: ribosomal RNA, 108 nt
Filed under: Sphingomonadales bacterium
Lineage: Bacteria; Pseudomonadati; Pseudomonadota; Alphaproteobacteria; Sphingomonadales
Description: partial 16S ribosomal RNA
Rfam family: Bacterial small subunit ribosomal RNA
Source: RNAcentral
AUAAACUUGAGAGUUUGAUCAUGGCUCAGAAUGAACGCUGGCGGCAUGCCUAACACAUGCAAGUCGAACGAAGCCUUCGGGCUUAGUGGCGCACGGGUGCGUAACGCG